This 201-nucleotide ribosomal RNA is filed under the name Salmonella enterica subsp. enterica serovar Typhimurium. RNAcentral's name for it is "partial 16S ribosomal RNA". It matches the Rfam family "Bacterial small subunit ribosomal RNA", at positions 357 to 550 of the family's 1533-position model. The record is from RNAcentral. Lineage: Bacteria; Pseudomonadati; Pseudomonadota; Gammaproteobacteria; Enterobacterales; Enterobacteriaceae.
GGGAAUAUUGCACAAUGGGCGCAAGCCUGAUGCAGCCAUGCCGCGUGUAUGAAGAAGGCCUUCGGGUUGUAAAGUACUUUCAGCGGGGAGGAAGGUGUUGCGGUUAAUAACCGCAGCAAUUGACGUUACCCGCAGAAGAAGCACCGGCUAACUCCGUGCCAGCAGCCGCGGUAAUACGGAGGGUGCAAGCGUUAAUCGGAA